This 116-nucleotide microRNA precursor is filed under the name Myotis lucifugus (little brown bat). RNAcentral describes it as "miRNA (ENSMLUG00000022440.1)". Lineage: Eukaryota; Metazoa; Chordata; Mammalia; Chiroptera; Vespertilionidae. The record is from RNAcentral.
AAUCAGCCUGUCCUUUGAAGCUUUGCAGCCAGGCAUUGACUUCUCUCUAGCUAUGAAAGUCCUAGAUGGUAUCUUCUUCCAAUGUAAGGCUACAUUGUCUACAUUGAAAAUCUGUU